AAGUCGUAACAAGGUUUCCGUAGGUGAACCUGCGGAAGGAUCAUUACCGAGCUUGUAGUGUCUUUCACACAUGGAGCGGGCCGACCCCCUAGUCGUGCCAGGGAGCCAGUCUCUGUCACCGUUCCCUGAUCGGGGAGCAGAGGCGGCUCUAGCGCCGUUCCCCGGCUUCGGCCGGGAGCUCGCCCGCCGCAGUAGCGGGGAAAGAACGGACUCGGUGCUUGACACCACAUAGCCUGUGCUUGAAAAGGAACAUACAAAUGCAGAACAACUGCAGACGGUGGAUCACUCGGCUC
This 293-nucleotide unclassified non-coding RNA is filed under the name fungal sp. RNAcentral describes it as "partial internal transcribed spacer region". The stretch from base 1 to 46 matches the Rfam family "Eukaryotic small subunit ribosomal RNA", at positions 1786 to 1831 of the family's 1831-position model. Lineage: Eukaryota; Fungi. The record is from RNAcentral.